GGUUUGUUUAAUAAAAAAAGAAAAUAGUAUUAAAAGAGAAAAAUAUGAGAAAAAAUAUCAAAAAACAAAAGGGUUUGUUGCAUAUCUAAUAGGCAAACCCUUACGGAAAACCAAAAGAUGAACAGCAUAAGAUGGUGAGAACACUAUCCAUGCCAGUAAAUGGUAUUUUAUGAAAGCAAAAUAUUAAAAUGUUUUAAGUUAAUGAUUAAUCAUCUUAUAAAUAAAUUCGUCAGGAACAGAGACCCAAACCAAGAACCAGGAACCGGCACCAAGGAACCAAACUGAGAACCAAGGUUUGGUUCAGUUUGGUUCUGGGAUUUCCCAAACUCCAGCUGAACUGAACCAAGCCCACCCCUACUAGAAAUUGCUUUUAAUGCCAUUAUGUUGAUCCUAUGUUUUUUCACUUGAAAAGCAAAUCCAAAUACACCUCCAUUUCAAAUGCAUAUCUAUCCAAAUGGAACACAAGUGAAUUUGAUUUCUUCAAGCUCAAAUGUAUACACUUGUAAUCUUCCAUGUUAGACAAUCAAUUUAAGAAAACAAAUUUAAAAAAAAAUCAUGAAAAAGAGAAGUCUCAAAAAAUGCAACGACCUAAGCCUGAGCUGAA
This 604-nucleotide unclassified non-coding RNA is filed under the name Hevea brasiliensis (rubber tree). Lineage: Eukaryota; Viridiplantae; Streptophyta; Magnoliopsida; Malpighiales; Euphorbiaceae. The record is from RNAcentral.